RNAcentral lists this ribosomal RNA (253 nucleotides) under uncultured bacterium. RNAcentral describes it as "partial 16S ribosomal RNA". It matches the Rfam family "Bacterial small subunit ribosomal RNA", at positions 524 to 776 of the family's 1533-position model. The record is from RNAcentral.
UACGAAGGACCCAAGCGUUAUCCGGAUUUAUUGGGUUUAAAGGGUGCGUAGGCGGAUUAUUAAGUCAGUGGUGAAAGCCUGCAGCUUAACUGCAGAAUUGCCAUUGAUACUGAUGAUCUUGAGUAUGAUUGAGGUGGGCGGAAUGUGUCAUGUAGCGGUGAAAUGCUUAAAUAUGACACAGAACACCGAUUGCGAAGGCAGCUCACUAAGCCAUAACUGACGCUGAUGCACGAAAGCGUGGGGAGCAAACAGG